RNAcentral lists this long non-coding RNA (911 nucleotides) under Heterocephalus glaber (naked mole-rat). Its description in RNAcentral is "lncRNA (ENSHGLG00000046419.1)". The record is from RNAcentral. Lineage: Eukaryota; Metazoa; Chordata; Mammalia; Rodentia; Bathyergidae.
CUUCCCCAGCAGGCGCCCUGGAACACGCGCGCCCAGCGUGCCCAGCUCCCGAGGGCCCGGCUCACGGUCACACUGCGUGCUCGUGGGCGCUACUCUGGGAUCCCAAAGUCUUGCUCUGCCUCUCUAGAGCCCAAAGCAACGUUAAAACAAAGAGAAAAAUACUGCACGAGGAUCCAGACUGUAUUCAGAGCAGAUGAGGCUCAGAGAGGCAGCCCGUUCCGAGAUCCACUUCCUACACACCAGGUCUCACCGCCGAAGCAGGAUAGCAAAAGCCGAGCCAGACCCCAAGCCCUCGUCCUCCACGUACAGAGUGUGCCUUUGUUCAGUCUACAGUGUUGCUGCUGCGUGUCUCUGAAACUAUUUUCCAUAGAUUCGCCUUGUAAUCUUUCUAAAACCAAAACAAGGACAGACUGCAGAAAGGAAACCAUGCCCUGAUGUGCCUAUGAGCUUAUCUUCCGGAUCGAACUCAGACCUUGCCCUUGUGAGACAGGUGCGGUGCCACUGAGCUAAAUCACCUGCAGUAUUUCAUUGUUUAAAUCUAUUAGCCCUGUGUGGUGGUGCACACCUGUAACCCCAGAACUCGAGAGGCUGAGGCAGGAGGGUCACCUCCAGUUUGAGGCCAGCCUGGGCUACAUAAUGAGUUCAAGGACAGCCGAGACAACAUACCAAGACCCUAUCCCAAUAGUAAAUAAAUAAUAAAUAAGUAAAAUCCAUGAUUGCUGCUGUCAGGAUGGAUGAAAGUUUAAAUGAAAUGAUGUAUCUUAGCACGCUCUCCUCGGGGCAUAGCCUCCUCUUUGUAGUGUGUCCUUGAUUUGGCUUCAGGAAAAGAUCACAAGGGGAAUGGAUGGGAAAUAUCUGAGAAGCAGCAGCUAAGAUAGCGCCAGGAGCAAACCUGGCAACUGGUACAGCAG